Molecule: ribosomal RNA, 2369 nt
Filed under: Escherichia coli
Lineage: Bacteria; Pseudomonadati; Pseudomonadota; Gammaproteobacteria; Enterobacterales; Enterobacteriaceae
Description: bacterial LSU rRNA
Rfam family: Bacterial large subunit ribosomal RNA
Source: RNAcentral
GUGUGACUGCGUACCUUUUGUAUAAUGGGUCAGCGACUUAUAUUCUGUAGCAAGGUUAACCGAAUAGGGGAGCCGAAGGGAAACCGAGUCUUAACUGGGCGUUAAGUUGCAGGGUAUAGACCCGAAACCCGGUGAUCUAGCCAUGGGCAGGUUGAAGGUUGGGUAACACUAACUGGAGGACCGAACCGACUAAUGUUGAAAAAUUAGCGGAUGACUUGUGGCUGGGGGUGAAAGGCCAAUCAAACCGGGAGAUAGCUGGUUCUCCCCGAAAGCUAUUUAGGUAGCGCCUCGUGAAUUCAUCUCCGGGGGUAGAGCACUGUUUCGGCAAGGGGGUCAUCCCGACUUACCAACCCGAUGCAAACUGCGAAUACCGGAGAAUGUUAUCACGGGAGACACACGGCGGGUGCUAACGUCCGUCGUGAAGAGGGAAACAACCCAGACCGCCAGCUAAGGUCCCAAAGUCAUGGUUAAGUGGGAAACGAUGUGGGAAGGCCCAGACAGCCAGGAUGUUGGCUUAGAAGCAGCCAUCAUUUAAAGAAAGCGUAAUAGCUCACUGGUCGAGUCGGCCUGCGCGGAAGAUGUAACGGGGCUAAACCAUGCACCGAAGCUGCGGCAGCGACGCUUAUGCGUUGUUGGGUAGGGGAGCGUUCUGUAAGCCUGCGAAGGUGUGCUGUGAGGCAUGCUGGAGGUAUCAGAAGUGCGAAUGCUGACAUAAGUAACGAUAAAGCGGGUGAAAAGCCCGCUCGCCGGAAGACCAAGGGUUCCUGUCCAACGUUAAUCGGGGCAGGGUGAGUCGACCCCUAAGGCGAGGCCGAAAGGCGUAGUCGAUGGGAAACAGGUUAAUAUUCCUGUACUUGGUGUUACUGCGAAGGGGGGACGGAGAAGGCUAUGUUGGCCGGGCGACGGUUGUCCCGGUUUAAGCGUGUAGGCUGGUUUUCCAGGCAAAUCCGGAAAAUCAAGGCUGAGGCGUGAUGACGAGGCACUACGGUGCUGAAGCAACAAAUGCCCUGCUUCCAGGAAAAGCCUCUAAGCAUCAGGUAACAUCAAAUCGUACCCCAAACCGACACAGGUGGUCAGGUAGAGAAUACCAAGGCGCUUGAGAGAACUCGGGUGAAGGAACUAGGCAAAAUGGUGCCGUAACUUCGGGAGAAGGCACGCUGAUAUGUAGGUGAAGUCCCUCGCGGAUGGAGCUGAAAUCAGUCGAAGAUACCAGCUGGCUGCAACUGUUUAUUAAAAACACAGCACUGUGCAAACACGAAAGUGGACGUAUACGGUGUGACGCCUGCCCGGUGCCGGAAGGUUAAUUGAUGGGGUUAGCGCAAGCGAAGCUCUUGAUCGAAGCCCCGGUAAACGGCGGCCGUAACUAUAACGGUCCUAAGGUAGCGAAAUUCCUUGUCGGGUAAGUUCCGACCUGCACGAAUGGCGUAAUGAUGGCCAGGCUGUCUCCACCCGAGACUCAGUGAAAUUGAACUCGCUGUGAAGAUGCAGUGUACCCGCGGCAAGACGGAAAGACCCCGUGAACCUUUACUAUAGCUUGACACUGAACAUUGAGCCUUGAUGUGUAGGAUAGGUGGGAGGCUUUGAAGUGUGGACGCCAGUCUGCAUGGAGCCGACCUUGAAAUACCACCCUUUAAUGUUUGAUGUUCUAACGUGGACCCGUAAUCCGGGUUGCGGACAGUGUCUGGUGGGUAGUUUGACUGGGGCGGUCUCCUCCUAAAGAGUAACGGAGGAGCACGAAGGUUGGCUAAUCCUGGUCGGACAUCAGGAGGUUAGUGCAAUGGCAUAAGCCAGCUUGACUGCGAGCGUGACGGCGCGAGCAGGUGCGAAAGCAGGUCAUAGUGAUCCGGUGGUUCUGAAUGGAAGGGCCAUCGCUCAACGGAUAAAAGGUACUCCGGGGAUAACAGGCUGAUACCGCCCAAGAGUUCAUAUCGACGGCGGUGUUUGGCACCUCGAUGUCGGCUCAUCACAUCCUGGGGCUGAAGUAGGUCCCAAGGGUAUGGCUGUUCGCCAUUUAAAGUGGUACGCGAGCUGGGUUUAGAACGUCGUGAGACAGUUCGGUCCCUAUCUGCCGUGGGCGCUGGAGAANNNNNNNNNNNNNNNNUGAGGGGGGCUGCUCCUAGUACGAGAGGACCGGAGUGGACGCAUCACUGGUGUUCGGGUUGUCAUGCCAAUGGCACUGCCCGGUAGCUAAAUGCGGAAGAGAUAAGUGCUGAAAGCAUCUAAGCACGAAACUUGCCCCGAGAUGAGUUCUCCCUGACUCCUUGAGAGUCCUGAAGGAACGUUGAAGACGACGACGUUGAUAGGCCGGGUGUGUAAGCGCAGCGAUGCGUUGAGCUAACCGGUACUAAUGAACCGUGAGGCUUAACCUU